Molecule: ribosomal RNA, 940 nt
Filed under: uncultured archaeon
Lineage: Archaea
Description: bacterial SSU rRNA
Rfam family: Archaeal small subunit ribosomal RNA
Source: RNAcentral
AGUCACUGCUAUUGGAGUUCGAUUAAGCCAUGCGAGUCAAGGGAACUUCGGUUACCGGCGUACUGCUCAGUAACACGUGGAUAAUCUGCCCUUGGGUGGGGGAUAGCCUCGGGAAACUGAGGGUAAUACCCCAUAGGUCAUAAUUGCUGGAAUGCAUCUUGACUUAAAGCUCCGGCGCCCAAGGAUGAGUCUGCGGCCUAUCAGGUUGUAGUGGGUGUAAUGGACCCACUAUCCUACGACGGGUACGGGUCGUGAGAGCGAUUGCCCGGAGAUGGAUUCUGAGACAUGAAUCCAGGCCCUACGGGGCGCAGCAGGCGCGAAAACUUCGCAAUGUGGGAAACCACGACGAGGGAAUUCCAAGUGCUCGCACAUUGUGCGAGCUUUUCUUAUACCUAAAAAGUAUGGGGAAUAAGGGCUGGGUAAGACGGGUGCCAGCCGCCGCGGUAAUACCCGCAGCCCAAGUGGUGAUCGUUAUUAUUGGGCUUAAAACGUCCGUAGCCUGUCAGGUAAAUCUCUGGGUAAAUCGACUGGCUUAACCAGCCGAAUUCCGGAGAGACUGCCAGACUUGGGACCGGGUGAGGGUGGAGGUACUUCAGGGGGAGGGGUGAAAUCCUUUAAUCCUUGAAGGACCACCAGUGGCGAAAGCGUCCACCUAGAACGGCUCCGACGGUAAGGGACGAAACCCUGGGGCGCAAACGGGAUUAGAUACCCCGGUAGUCCAGGGCGUAAACGCUGUGGGCUUGGUGUUGGGUGUCCUACGAGGGCAUUCAGUGCCGUAGAGAAAUUGUUAAGCUUACUGCCUGGGGAGUACGCUCGCAAGAGUGAAACUUAAAGGAAUUGGCGGGGGAGCACCGCAACGGGUGGAGCGUGCGGUUUAAUUGGAUUCAACGCCGGAUUGAUCCUUCCGGUUGAUCCCGCCGGAAUUGGAGUCAACGCCGGA